This is a non-coding RNA of Ciona intestinalis (vase tunicate), 476 nucleotides long. Lineage: Eukaryota; Metazoa; Chordata; Ascidiacea; Phlebobranchia; Cionidae. The record is from RefSeq and is a predicted model, not a curated record.
CCUUCUCUUCGGCAGACCUUUUUUCCACUCUCUCUCGAAUUUUUAAUUUGGGAAACAUUGGCCGGAAAAUGAGCGCCGCGAGAAAAUCUGUUGCCAAACACUGAAAUAAAGUUUUGGAUGCAUUUUUCAACUAACGUGGACAGCUUUUUAGUGUUAUAUCAAGCAGACACUACACAAGCAUUGUAAGGAAAUGAAGCUGAUUGUCCAAAGGGAACAACAAAAAGAUUGCGGUUCAGGUUCAUUUCAUUUAACUCAGAAAAUAAACUAAGCUCAUCCAUCACAUCAAGAUGAGGAAGAAGGGCUUGUGUCAUUGAAUCUGUCAUCCACACACCAAUGAUCUUUAGAACUUUGAUCUAAAAUGGAAUCUUUAGUAUUUGCAAAACAUCAUCAUUUAUUUGAUCUUUAUCCACUUUCCAAUGCUUUUCCCAUUGAUCAGCGCUGAUGUCAUUCACCGUUAAACCAUUAACAGUAAACUG